CCCCUAGAUGUUCUGGGCCGCACGCGCGCUACACUGAACAGUUCAACAAGUCUUAACCUUGGCCGAUAGGUCUGGGUAAUCUUUGAACGCUGUUCGUGAUUGGGAUAGACCUUUGCAAUUAUGGGUCUUCAACGAGGAAUUCCUGGUAAACGCAAGUCAUCAGCUUGCAUUGAUUACGUCCCUGCCCUUUGUACACACCGCCCGUCGCACCUACCGAUUGAAUGGUCCGGUGAAAUCUCGGGACGGCGGCUUGGUCGCUUGCGUCCGACUGCUGAAACUUGAUUAAACCAUAUCAUUUAGAGGAAGGUGAANUCGUANCA
Molecule: ribosomal RNA, 320 nt
Filed under: uncultured eukaryote
Lineage: Eukaryota
Description: partial 18S ribosomal RNA
Rfam family: Eukaryotic small subunit ribosomal RNA
Source: RNAcentral